GUGGAAGUUUGGAAGAGUGAGAGCGAGGAGCCAAUGAUAUAACAUUAGCCCUAAUGUUGAAUGUUGAAUGUUGAUUUGUCAUGGUUUGCCAAAUCCCAAUCUAGAGUGAGGGCUAAACUAAUCUCGGAUCGAUACCUUGAUUCAGAAAACAGAGAAAGAAAGAGAAUAAGGCUAUCCCCAAUCCCAAGCAACAACCAUACGAAAUUACUCUCUUUCUUCUUCUUCUUCUCAAAAUCAAAUUCACCGGCCAUUACCAGUUGACCCUCAUCAUUGCCCUUUGAAACCAUAAAACCCAUAUGAAUCACAUGCUUUCCACCUCAUAGCUCCACUUAUAUUAUAUUUUUCUUUUCUUCAUUCUCCAUUCUCCAUUCCCCAUUCCCCAUUCCCCAUUACCAUGGUUUCCCUUUCCACCACCCUUUUCCUUUCCCUCACUGCACAAAACGCUUCCUCUAGAAUCCCCCCUCCCAAUUCCUUCCGUUACAACAACCACCGUAACAGGGAUCACAGGAAGGUUGUCUGUGCCUGCAUCGCACCCCCGCAAAACUUCAAGAGCCAGGACUCUUCCCCCAUUAAUUUCAAUGGUUUGUCUAAAUCAGAACAGUUGAGCACGGCGCGGGAUCAUGAGGAUGAUUCUGAUGUUCUGAUUGAGUGUAGAGAUGUGUACAAGUCUUUUGGGGAGAAGAAAAUUUUAAAUGGUUUAAGCUUCAAGAUCAGGCAUGGUGAAGCUGUUGGAAUAAUUGGUCCCUCUGGGACUGGUAAAUCUACAGUUUUGAAGAUUAUGGCAGGACUUCUUGCUCCGGACAAGGGGGAAGUUUAUAUUCGAGGUAAAAAGAGAGUUGGUUUAGUAAGCGAUGAUGACAUAUCUGGUCUUCGAAUUGGAUUAGUUUUCCAAAGUGCAGCACUUUUUGAUUCUUUGACUGUUCGUGAAAAUGUUGGUUUUCUCUUGUAUGAACACUCAACCAUGUCUGAUGACCAGAUAUCAGAGCUUGUCAAGGAAACCUUGGCUGCAGUUGGAUUGAAGGGAGUUGAGGAGCGGUUGCCCUCUGAGUUAUCAGGUGGGAUGAAAAAGCGAGUUGCUUUAGCUCGAUCUAUUAUUUGUGACACCACAAAAGAAUCAAUAGAGCCAGAGGUGCUCUUGUAUGAUGAACCAACUGCUGGACUUGAUCCCAUUGCAUCUACUGUUGUUGAGGAUCUGAUUCGCUCGGUGCACAUUAAAGGACAAGACGCACGUGGGAAACCUGGGAAUAUUACAUCUUAUGUGGUUGUUACUCAUCAACAUAGUACCAUUAAAAGAGCCAUUGAUAGAAUUCAUGUACCCUGAUAUGCAAAGUGACUUCACAAAUACAUACAGAUUAUUGUUUCUACACCAAGGAAAGAUUGUUUGGGAAGGAAUGACUCAUGAGUUUACAACUUCAACAAAUCCAAUUGUUCAGCAGUUUGCAUCCGGGAGUCUAGAUGGUCCUAUCAGAUAUUAGAACAGUAUUGCAAUUGUAAACUAGAAAAAAUGGAUUAUGGCUGGUCUUGGCUACCAUGGAGUGCAGAUAGGAAUGUGCAAUAAAUUUGUUGCAACAAGUAUUAAAGAGCUUGGCACCGUUUUGGUAUUACAUUCCAAUUUGACUUUUAUAGAAUUGGCCAUCCAAUUUGGAUUAGAAUCCGGGAAAGACAGGUUUUUUUCUUUUGGGUUAGAGAGCACCUUAUUGUUACUGAUGAUUAAAUUCUUUGGCAAUCGAAGCCAAAGGUGCAUGUUCCAUGCACACCAUAUGUUAGAAGAGAUUCGAUGUAUUAAUAUUAGUUCUGCGCGUAGUACUUGAUGUUCUAGCUUGUGUUUUUGUAAACAAUUCAAUAUAGUCAAUAAAUUUGCUUUAUUAUUUUAGA
Non-coding RNA from Cajanus cajan (pigeon pea), 1875 nucleotides. NCBI's taxonomy places the organism in Eukaryota, Viridiplantae, Streptophyta, Magnoliopsida, Fabales, Fabaceae. The record is from RefSeq and is a predicted model, not a curated record.